Molecule: ribosomal RNA, 480 nt
Filed under: uncultured bacterium
Lineage: Bacteria
Description: bacterial SSU rRNA
Rfam family: Bacterial small subunit ribosomal RNA
Source: RNAcentral
AAUGAACGCUGGCGGCGUGGUUAAGACAUGCAAGUCGAACGGUUUUUGUUGUGUAGCAAUACAUAACAAAAGCAGUGGCGAACGGGUGCGUAACACGUGAACAAUCUACCUUCAAAUGGGGAAUAGCUCGCCGAAAGGCGAAUUAAUACCGCAUGUGGUUGCCUCUCGCAUGAGAAGCAUACCAAAGUCAGGGACCGCAAGGCCUGACGUUAGAAGAGGAGUUCGCGGCCUAUCAGCUAGUUGGUAGGGUAAUGGCCUACCAAGGCGACGAUCGGUAGCCGGCCUGAGAGGGUGAUCGGCCACACUGGAACUGAGACACGGUCCAGACUCCUACGGGAGGCAGCAGUGGGGAAUUUUGCGCAAUGGGCUAACGCCUGACGCAGCAACGCCGCGUGGAGGAUGAAGGUCUUUGGAUUGUAAACUCCUGUCAGCAGGGAAAAAGCAACUUAGCCUAAUACGCUAGGGAGUUGAUUGUACCUG